Molecule: long non-coding RNA, 2029 nt
Organism: Toxorhynchites rutilus septentrionalis
Lineage: Eukaryota; Metazoa; Arthropoda; Insecta; Diptera; Culicidae
Exons: 3
Source: RefSeq, a predicted model, not a curated record
UUGAGUCCGCAGGACCUACGUUCUAGCCAUUCACUUCAAAUUGACAUGUAUGUACCAUGUACAUCUCAUAGGCACACAUCUGAGAAGCUGACUGAUUUCACAAAGGCGAAAAUAUUCCGAUUCGCCCGGUAUUUCCACCACUAAAUCAGCAGUUGGUGCUUUUGAAAGAGUAUCUCCUCAAAACCGGACACAACCAAUAAAACCAAACGGUACUGCGCUCUAACGCUGCCUCACUACACAUAAUAAAGGACUCCUCCGCUGGACAAUCGACAAAGAGAUUAGUGUGUCAACGCCCUGUGCGUUUCAUAAACCUGUUUUGAGCCGACGACACUGGGAAUCACCUCACCAUCUAUAAACGGGUUCUCCCUUCGUAUUUUCUAGCCUCAUUCCCGAGUAAACGAAGACCACAGAGGUUAUCAACCAACUCGAGUGCUAAAUCAGGCAACUGAAAAUCACAAACGCUCGUGUCAAUACGGGACGGGAAUUCUCACGAAGCAUAAUCGAGGCAAAUGAAGAAACAAAAAAGUUGAACACUAUCCAGCUUCCGAUCGAGUGCGGGUUUUUCCGACCGACCUUGUGGCGCAAAAAAAACUAAACCAACCCAUUGUUCCUUACCGUAUAGACCAGACUGUGCGGUGAUAAGGAGCGCGUUGAUGGUGAUGGUACAAAGCGUCAUCAACUGGAAUCCGACUGUGGCAGAUUUCCCUAAGGUCAUCAUCAUCAUCAACGCUGUUUUGUUUUCCGCUAUAUAUGUCGAUUUUUUGUUUUGUUUCGCGUUCUUUACCAGAGCUGGUGGCUCUUCAUGUGUAAACAAGUUUUUUUUUGCGUCUGCCUCUCGCGAUUCACUUCUCGAUCUCUCUCGGUAGGGAAGAAAACUUCCCCGAAGACGACGAUCCGUUAAAAAUUAAUAUUUGCACUAAUGCCACUCGAUGGAAAGAAACCCAAAUGACGUCAGCCUCCAAUGAUGGACAUUUUCCGAAAGCCGACUUAGCCGAUACGCAUCAUUAAUUGAUACCGAUACGGUACCGCCGCGCGGAUGAUCGUACCGUUGUAUUCGCGACGAACUCAGCGUGUAGAAAGUAUGGAGAGAAAAAAAAACUCACAAAGUAUCAAAAUCAACAAAAACAGAACACACCGGCGGGGUGAUUGAUGGAUGACGACGGAUUAUGAACUACGCGCUCAGGGUUUCAACAACCAACUACUGCUGAACGGCUGAUCGAUCAAGAUUCAAUGGCAGCAUCGUUUCGCGAGAGCAACUCAAGAGAUUGAGAGCCAGUACACCACGGGAACCACUCACGAACUCUCGCGGAGUGCGAAUGUGUCAAUCGAAGAAGCUCGUACCAGAACUAUGAUGCACUUGACCUCAAGAAAUCCCAGUCGCUGUUUCGCGCGAUGCGCGCCAGGAGGUUUUUGAAAAGGGAGGAUCGCGUAUGCGUUGUACCACUGCCCGGCCACACGAUCGAUUCGAUCCAGUCGAGAUAAGCCGCAACUCGUGUGUAAAUGCCCGCAUAUUCGCCGCAUCCCAGCCCAAAGGACACGACCCCAACGAGAUAGAACCGUUCCUCCGUGCUGUUCGUGUAGUGCAGCGGACCACCGGAAUCUCCCUGGCAGGCGUCCCGACGCAUACCGGAACUUGCACGCGUCCCGAUGGCACAGUACUGCGAUUGGAUAACACCGUUAGCUAACUUUUCGUUGAACUGUCCAAGCCGCUGUUUGUUCUCCCUGUUGCACACACCUAGUGGCAUCGUCGUGAGGCUCACCUUCAGCAGCUUAUCCGAACGGGUUUCGCUACCUAAAUCUGAUAGUGAAAUACUUUGAUUCGUGAAAAAUCAUUGCUGCAAGUUAUGAAGCCUACCCAUUAUGCCCCACCCCGCUGUUUCCAGUGGAUGCGAAGGAGGCAGAUCGUUUUCACCGCUGUGUAGACAGGCCCUCUUUACGUUAUCCCCGUACAGGAACGGCGACUCGAUCUCGAUGAGUGCGAUAUCAUUGUAUUUGGUUUUGGGAGUGUACGCAGGAUGAAGGUAAAAUG